UGGGGAAUCUUCCGCAAUGGACGAAAGUCUGACGGAGCAACGCCGCGUGUACGACGAAGGCCUUCGGGUUGUAAAGUACUGUCUUCAGGGACGAACGGUAUCUAUGUGAAUAAUGUGGGUGCAUGACGGUACCUGAGGAGGAAGCCCCGGCUAACUACGUGCCAGCAGCCGCGGUAAUACGUAGGGGGCAAGCGUUGUCCGGAAUCAUUGGGCGUAAAGGGCGCGUAGGCGGAUACUUAAGUCUGGUGUGAAAACCUAGGGCUCAACCCUGGGACUGCAUCGGAAACUGGGUAUCUUGAGGACAGGAGAGGAAAGUGGAAUUCCACGUGUAGCGGUGAAAUGCGUAGAUAUGUGGAGGAACACCAGUGGCGAAGGCGACUUUCUGGACUGUAACUGACGCUGAGGCGCGAAAGCGUGGGGAGCAAACAGG
This 430-nucleotide ribosomal RNA is filed under the name uncultured bacterium. RNAcentral describes it as "bacterial SSU rRNA". It matches the Rfam family "Bacterial small subunit ribosomal RNA", at positions 355 to 776 of the family's 1533-position model. The record is from RNAcentral.